CUCAAAAAAUUCUACUUUAUCUUGGAGAAAAUAACUACAUCAACUACGAAUUUUGGUAGUGCUCUCCCCUUUUCUUAUAUUCUUAGAUGAGCAAGCUUCAAAAGGAAGCUAUCGUCGAACCGGCUUAGGUUUAUGAGGAUGUUGUUGAUGAAACUCCUGUACCUUUUGUGGCGCAUUGGCGAGAUUUUCAGCUAGCUCCCA
This 201-nucleotide long non-coding RNA is filed under the name Physcomitrium patens. RNAcentral's name for it is "long non-coding RNA (PPAT_LNC004464)". Lineage: Eukaryota; Viridiplantae; Streptophyta; Bryopsida; Funariales; Funariaceae. The record is from RNAcentral.